AUUGAACGCUGGCGGCAUGCCUUACACAUGCAAGUCGAACGGCAGCACGGGAGCAAUCCUGGUGGCGAGUGGCGAACGGGUGAGUAAUAUAUCGGAACGUGCCCAGUCGUGGGGAUAACGUAGCGAAAGCUACGCUAAUACCGCAUACGAUCUAUGGAUGAAAGCGGGGGAUCGCAAGACCUCGCGCGAUUGGAGCGGCCGAUAUCAGAUUAGGUUGUUGGUGAGGUAAAAGCUCACCAAGCCGACGAUCUGUAGCUGGUUUGAGAGAACGACCAGCCACACUGGGACUGAGACACGGCCCAGACUCCUACGGAGGCAGCAGUGGGGAAUUUUGGACAAUGGGCGCAAGUCUGAUCCAGCCAUUCCGCGUGCAGGAUGAAGGCCCUCGGGUUGUAAACUGCUUUUGUACGGAACGAAAAGGUUUGUCUUAAUACGAUGUAGCUCAUGACGGUACCGUAAGAA
Molecule: ribosomal RNA, 462 nt
Filed under: uncultured bacterium
Lineage: Bacteria
Description: bacterial SSU rRNA
Rfam family: Bacterial small subunit ribosomal RNA
Source: RNAcentral